GGUUUCCUGUGCGCGCCUGUUGGUUAUUCGGGGAGCAGCUGCCCGCCUUCCGCACUCUCUUAGACUCCUUCUCCCCGCGGCCUCCAGCUCUGCUCCCAACCCGGCAUGUUAAGGGCAGCACGGGAUGCCCGGGCCCGCGCCCCUCGCGGAAGCAGCGCCCCGCGGGCCGUGUCGGCCACGUGUGCAGUGGGAGGCCCGGAGCCUACGAGGGCCGCGCCCUUCGCCCCCGCGCAACCCACGGCCCCGGUCAAAUUCAUCAAUCUACAUGAUAGGCCUGAACUGCUCUUUAAAACGGUUAUAUGAGGGCGAAGAUCAAGCGAGUCCGCGCUAGUCACCUAUGGAAUGCCCCCGAGACCCCAGAAAGCCCAGCAGCCGAGUUAGAGGAGGCCACGGCUACUUCUGCAGACGAUUUGGGAGACGUUGUAUCAGCAGAAGCUAAAACCUUUGAAGCCGUGAUGACUUCGAUGCUGAUGUCUAGAUGAAGGGAAGAAUAUCUAGCAGGACAGUUCUUAGCUAUGCUGAGUGAAUACUUCAGGCUUUCUGGUUUUCUGCAAUAGCUGAAACUAAACCGGAAUGACAACUGGUCGCUGAAACUGUUCCUUUAAAGGUCUUCAUUAAUAAAGCUCCUGCUGUGAAUCUAUGUGAUUAGGUGUGAAAAUGAAGAGACAAACUGGAAAACAAGAUAUAUGGAAUCAGCUUAGGCCUGCAACUCAAAGUCAAGACAAGCAAUUGCAGGCAAAGCUGUACUCAUUGGCAAUAAUGUCAACACCUGACAUCAAACUGAUCAAAUAAAGCUUGGUGUUUUCAUCAUGAAAUUGUUUUCAUUCUCACGGCGCUUAGUUUAAGCAGUGUGCAAGGCAGAGAAGUUUUAGGAGCAAUUUUCGCUUUUUGGGUCACAACCGGCAAUGCAGAGGGGUUAAUCCUGGCUCAUACACUUAAUCGCGGUACUGGGGGGACUAGGAUGCUGGGAAUCAAACCUGGGUCGGUCACGUGUAAGGCCCUACCCACCAUGCUAUGGCUCCAGGUGCUGAUUUUUAGGCCUUAUUUGGCACUGCUCAAACACUUGCACUUAACGGGCUCGAUCACAGUGCUACCUGUGAUACAGCCAGUGGGCUGUGUACAUGGUACAGUGGAUCUGGCACCAAACGUGCAAGUUUCAUGUGAUGACAUACUUUCUGUGGAGGCCUGAUUUGAAUCUGCACUGCUUGCUGGUUAAUUCUAGAUAAAAGGCAGGCUUCAUCUGGUGCUGGUGGUGCUU
Sorex araneus (European shrew) is the source of this 1258-nucleotide long non-coding RNA. RefSeq lists it as uncharacterized. The record is from RefSeq and is a predicted model, not a curated record. NCBI's taxonomy places the organism in Eukaryota, Metazoa, Chordata, Mammalia, Eulipotyphla, Soricidae. The transcript is spliced from 6 exons.